RNAcentral lists this ribosomal RNA (1392 nucleotides) under Euglena polymorpha. Its description in RNAcentral is "bacterial SSU rRNA". It matches the Rfam family "Bacterial small subunit ribosomal RNA". The record is from RNAcentral. Lineage: Eukaryota; Euglenozoa; Euglenophyceae; Euglenales; Euglenaceae.
CGGUAUGCUUAACACAUGCAAGUUGAACGAACUUAAGGUAACUUAUGUUAGUAACGGACGGGUGAGUAACAUGUAAGAAUCUGCGCUUAGGUGGGGGAUAACAGUUGGAAACGCCUGCUAAUACCCCAUAUAGCUAUCAAGUGAAAGAAUUUUCGCCUAAGCAUGAGCUUGCAUCUGAUUAGUUAGUUGGUAAGGUAAAGGCUUACCAAGACUUUGAUCAGUAGCUGGUUUGAGAGGAUGAUCAGCCACACGGGGAUUGAGAACGGAACCGACUCUUACGGGAGGCAGCAGUGAGGAAUUUUCCGCAAUGGGUGAAAGCCUGACGGAGCAAUACCGCGUGGAGGAUGAAGGCCUUAGGGUUGUAAACUUCUUUUCUCAUCGAAGAAUAUAUGACGGUAUUUGAGGAAUAAGCACUGGCUAAUUUCGUGCCAGCAGCCGCGGUAAUACGAGAAGUGCAAGCGUUUUCCGAUGUUAUUGGGCGUAAAGAGUUUGUAGGUUGCCUUGUGUGUUUGACGUUAAAUGUUAGAGCUCAACUCUGGAAUCGCGUUGAAUACUACUAGGCUUGAGUAUGAUAGAGGCAAAGGGAAUUCCCAGUGUAGCGGUGAAAUGCGUAGAUAUUGGGAAGAACACCAACGGCGAAAGCACUUUGCUAGGUUAAUACUGACACUGAGAAACGAAAGCUAAGGUAGCAAAACGGAUUAGAUACCCGUGUAGUCUUAGCUGUAAACUAUGGAUACCAAGUGGUGCACUAGUACUGCUGAAGCUAACGCGUUAAGUAUCCCGCCUGGGGAGUACGCUUGCAAAAGUGAAACUCAAAGGAAUUGACGGGGGCCCGCACAAGCGGUGGAGCAUGUGGUUUAAUUCGAUGGUACACGAAGAACCUUACCAGGGUUUGACAUGCUAGGAAGCUUUCUGAAAGGAAGGCGUAUCUUCGGAAACCUAGACACAGGUGGUGCAUGGCUGUCGUCAGCUCGUGUUGUGAGAUGUUAGGUUAAGUCCGUCAACGAGCGCAACCCUCUUUUUUAGUUUUAUCUAAAAAUACUGCCGACUAUAAGUCGGAGGAAGGUGGGGAUAACGUCAAGUCCUCACGCCCCUUAUAUCCUGGGCUACACACGUGCUACAAUGGUUCAGACAACGAGUCGCAAGCUUGUGAAAGUGAGCAAAUCUCUUAAACUUAACCUUAGUUCGGAUUGUAGGCUGCAACUCGCCUACAUGAAGCUGGAAUCGCUAGUAAUCGCCGGUCAGCUAUACGGCGGUGAAUACGUUCUCGGGCCUUGUACACACCGCCCGUCACACCAUGGGAGCUGGUCAUGCCUAAUGUCGUUAUCUUAACCGUAAGGGGAGAAAUGCCUAAGGCCGGGUUGGUGACUGGGGUGAAGUCGUAACAAGGUA